AUGCCACCCCCUCCUCCGGGCAGUCGCGGGCGCGGCCGCGGUCGCGGAAUCGGAUCCCCCGUCGCCAACUCCGUGCCAACCAGUCUCGGCGCUCGCGGCCGCCACCUUCCGCGCCACCGCGUACUUUACUUUGAUGUUCCCAUCACCGACGGACGAGUGAUCGUUUCCGUCGAUUCGCAUGGGCUACUCGCCGCCGCAGCCCGUUCCGGCUUGGACGACGGGCCGACGAUCUUCGUCGACAUAGACAUGGACGGCAACUUCCUCACGGAUCACCGCGUUCCCGGCGAGCCCUUCGAAAGCAUGUACCACCUCAUCCGCGCCGCCAGUACCCACCUGCUCGCCGCCCCCUGCCGCGAUCUUCCUCGGUGUGAGCAGGAGGAGGAGGAUCAUGUGGCCGAGCCUGCAUGCGCAGCACGAACAAUGCAAGAACAGGACCUCUCGUCCUUGGAGGGCCUGCUCAAUGCUACGACGUUGGAGGAAUCGGCUUCCCCGUCCUCCUCCGUGCAGACGGAGGCUCAGCCCUGGGGCUGCCUUUCCUCGUUCCCUAUGUGGGCACUGGCCCAGUUUGAUUGGGGGAUCAUAUUUUUCACCAGGGUCGACCUCAAGGGAUCUUUCCACACGAAUCCUCGCGCGGGCGGGCCGUUUCAGAGCUUGCGGGAAGCUUAUGACGCUAUAGAUCGCUAUCUUGAAGAACAUCGGCAUCCAACAAUGUUCACUGGUGUUUCUCGACUGGAAAGGGUGGUAAGACUGUCUCUUAACUGUCCUGAUGGCACAAGGAAGAAGCUUUUGGAAUCGCAGCAAAUGGAUGGAAGGCGCGAUUGGAAGCGACAGUUGGUUCAAACUUUGGUGGACAAGCAUAAUGAUUACCACCAUCUUUCAGGGGAUCUUGCAUAUGAACUCAAAGAUGUUGUGCGCUUCGAAUCAGUUGCUGGGGGCAAUGGCCAUAGGUACUAUCAUAUCAAUUUCACUAUGAAGACUAAAGGAGCUGAUGAUAGUAACUCUGUUGGUGAAGAUUUAUUCUUUGCUGAAGUCAAAAUCAAGGGUGGAGAAUAUGUAGAACUGGUGGUCAGCUGUUUCUGCAUGGUUGAACCUAAUGACAAUGGUCAUUGCUAUGGUUGUGAUGUGAAGCACCCCAACAAUGCUGCUGCAUAUACUUGCGCCAAAGCAAGCUCUCAGUGUGCAUGCUCUCUAUUUGGUAAUAUGGGAUUGCCGGUCCGUGACGAAAGCUUGGAAGAGGAGGAAAGAAGGGUAAGGCGUUUCUACGAGACCCAGGGUCUCGAUGAUCCGGAUUUCGUGGAGAAAGAGAGAGCGAGGGCACAGAUGCCAGGCAAACCGUUCAGCCCUGCUGAUUGUGUGCUUGAAUAUCGGGCUGUGCCAACCACCGGGAAGACUAAUAAGUAG
RNAcentral lists this ribosomal RNA (1401 nucleotides) under Triticum aestivum (bread wheat). RNAcentral's name for it is "partial small subunit ribosomal RNA". The record is from RNAcentral. Lineage: Eukaryota; Viridiplantae; Streptophyta; Magnoliopsida; Poales; Poaceae.